Molecule: long non-coding RNA, 242 nt
Organism: Malus domestica (apple)
Lineage: Eukaryota; Viridiplantae; Streptophyta; Magnoliopsida; Rosales; Rosaceae
Source: RefSeq, a predicted model, not a curated record
GGAUGCAGUGUUGGUGUUCAUGUAGAAAGAAAGAGAGUUUAGAGUUGGACUUUGAUGUGUUGAUCUUGUUAGUUAGGUUGUCUUGCCAAAGAUUCGAGUUAUCGAGAUGAGUUAUUUGGCAAGACAGGUGAUAGACGAGCUGAGGUUGUGUUAGAUAAGGGUUUUAAAGAUUUUAAUCUAUUAUUUUUGUACACCCUGUAAGAAUUUUAGAGUUAUUUUAAUAAGAGGAGUUCAUUUUCCAA